UACGUAGGGUGCAAGCGUUAAUCGGAAUUACUGGGCGUAAAGCGUGCGCAGGCGGUUCGUUGUGUCGGUGGUGAAAGCCCCGGGCUUAACCUGGGAAUGGCCAUGGAAACUGGCGAACUGGAGUGUGGCAGAGGGGGGUGGAAUUCCCGGUGUAGCAGUGAAAUGCGUAGAGAUCGGGAGGAACACCAGUGGCGAAGGCGACUACCUGGACCAGCACUGACACUGAGGCACGAAAGCGUGGGGAGCAAACAGG
RNAcentral lists this ribosomal RNA (253 nucleotides) under uncultured bacterium. Its description in RNAcentral is "partial 16S ribosomal RNA". It matches the Rfam family "Bacterial small subunit ribosomal RNA", at positions 524 to 776 of the family's 1533-position model. The record is from RNAcentral.